CUUCCUCAAAUCGAAAUAUACAUGUUUCAAGGCAGUGGAUGUAUCGUAGAGAAGAUCUAACAACAAAAAAAGUUACACCGGAGUUCUGUGCUGGUUUGGAGCAAUUUAUGAGUUUUGCUUCAAUACAACCUUUAUGUCAAGAGCGUGGAAAAUUGCAAUGUCCAUGUAAAGGUUGUAGAAAUUUAAAAUUUCUGAAGUGGUCUGCAAACAUCUAUAUCGAAGGAGUUUUAUGGAUAAUUACUACGUAUGGCAUAUGCAUGGAGAAGAAGUCAGGACAGACGAAUACUGUUGUAUGGACACAGACAGAGGAGGGGUAUUUGAGCAAGUUCAACAACAAGAAGAAGAGCCGAAUAAUGAUGCAAAAGGAUUUUUCGACAUGCUCACGAUGGCAAAUCAUCCUAUAUACGAAGGAUGCAAACAAGAUUGAGAAGGAUAUAUGAAUCUGAGAAAACGGUAUCACAUAUGAGAUGGCAUGCAAAUCAUUCGAGCUCAACAAAAGAUAUGCAACAUCCAUUUGAUGGCAUUGCAUGGAAAGAUUUCAAUAAGGUAUUUCCUGAUUUUGCUACUGAGCCUCGGAAUGUUUAUCUCUGCUUAUGCACGGAUGGUCUUAGUCUGUACGGACAAUCUGACAUGCAAUAUUCAUUAUGGUCUGUGAUACUCUCGCCAUAUAAUUUGCCCCCGGAGAUGUGUCUGAAAAGAGAAUUUAUGUUUCUAACGUUGUUGAUUCCUGAGCCAGAUCACCUGAAGAAGAGUUUUGAUGUGUUUCUACAACCUUUGAUUAAGGAAUUGACAGAUUUGUGGAGCAUUGGAGUUCCUACAUAUGAUGUUAGUGUGAAACAAAAUUUCACACUAAAAACUAUGCUUCUAUGGACGAUCAGCGAUUUUCCUGCAUAUGGUAUGCUAUGUGGAUGGAGCACACAUAGAAGAUUGUUAUGUCCUUAUUGUAUGGAAGAAAUUGAUGCGUUUUACUUAAAGCACAGACGGAAAUCGUGUUGGUUCGAUUGUCAUCGAUGGUUUCUUCCAAUGCAUCAUCCAUUACGGAAAAACCGUACUGUGUUUGUGAAAGGUAGAAUGUUAAAGAGUAUGCUUCAAUAUUGCAGAUAGGCUUCCAAAUUUAUUCUGAAUGGAUGAACAAUGGUGUUAUUGACGAUUUGCAAGAAUCCGUUCGAUGUGGAGGUAAUUUUGGUAUACAAAGUGCAAAGGAUUUGAUGAUUGACACAACAGGAAUGAAAAGGAUAAUGUCAAUUCGAGGAAAGACAUGAAGAAAAUCUGUAAAAGAAAAGAGUUGGAGCUAACACACGAUGGUACGACACCAACUCCAAUCUUUAGAUUACUGGAUCCUGGAAAGAAAGUAUUGAUGAAGUGGUUGCAGGAAGAAGUGAAAUUUCCUGAUGGAUAUGCCUCCAAAAUAGCUUGUUGCAUUGAUAUGGAGUCAACGAAGCUUAUAGGAAUGAAGGGCCAAGAUUGUCAUGUUUUUAUGCAACGUCUCAUUCCGAUUGCUUUUGCAGAACUGUUAAAACCGAGUGUACACGAAGGAUUAUGUGGUAUAAGUUCAUUUUUCAGAGAUAUUUGUGCCAGAAAUUUAAGAAGAAGCAAUUUGGAAGUUCUAAAGAUCAACAUCCCGGAGAUACUAUGUGCCUUGGAAAAGGUAUUCCCGCCUUCAUUUUUUGAUGUGAUGGAGCAUUUAACCGUUCAUUUGCCAGAUGAAGCGAUCGUAGGAGGUCUAGUUCAAUUUUAGGUGGAUGUAUCCAUUUGAAUGGUUUUUCUUCCAUUUAAAGAAAAAGGUGAAUAACAAAAUUGCGGUUGAAGGUUCAAUUGUGAAGCAAUAUUUGUUGGAAGAAAUCACAUAUUUCAGCUCAUUUUAUUUUGAACAUCGAAUUCCGACGAAGGAACGGAGAUCAGACAAUAAUGAUUUGGAUACAUAUCUAUAUCAUUAUGAAUCGGUUUAAGGACGACAUUCCGGAGAUUUUUAUGCCAACAGGCCGGAUGGGUGGUAAAUCAGAGGAAUAUUGGUUAACUGUACAGGAGUACAACCAUCUCGCUACUUAUAUUUUAUUGAAUUGCGCAGAACUUCGUCAUUAUGAGAGGAUCUUUGAGAAGCAGGUUUUAGAAGCUUACCCAAAUUUAAGUGCUGAAGCUUUCGACAAAUUAAAACAAGAAAACUAUGCAUCUUGAUUCAGAGACUAUGGCUCAGCAGAAGAGUGAUGUCAUGGCCGAUCAUGUUCACGUGUGGAUACACAUUUCACACGUAUGAACAUGGGAAACAUCGUAAUACGUUCAACUACGGAGCGUGCAUCAAGAAUUCGAAUUACAGUGAUUCAUCAGAUGAUCCGAAUUUUUUGGAGUUUUACAUCAGAUCAUCCAGAUCGAAUAUCCCAGAUUAGUCGGUCUGAAAACAGUUGUAAUACCCCGAAACCAGAUUCAAAUAUUUAAUUAUUUAGAAAUAAAUAAUUAAAUAGAGAUAUCACGAAAUCAUCAAAAAUGAAUAGUACAAUGCCGGAGAGAGGCACGAGGAUCGUCACGUGCGGAAAGAAUCAACAAAAAGAAAAAGAAAAAAAAAGAAAAAAAAAAUAUAAAGGUUGGUCCGCCGGAUCAAGACUUGGUCCGGGGCGGACCAACCUGCUCAGCCGGAGUUGGAACGCACGGAGCGGACUGGGGAAGAGUUGCGAAAAAAAAAUAUCUGACCCCGGUCCGGCGGACCAGGCAGUUGGUUCGGCGGACCGGGAUUCGACAGAAAUUGUAACUUGCUCUGUUGCUACCUUGGGACGCGUAAUUCCGCCGGAUUUUGGGGCCCGCUCGACGCCAGCCGCCUCCCACGCAUCGAGGACAUUGAGGCCUGGGCUUGAGCCCGAGAACUCCCUAUCUCGCAGCAAAAACCUCUCCCAACCCUCUGCCUUAGCCAUUUUCGAGCUGAAACAGGGGAGAGAGGAAAGAGAGAGAAAGGGAGAGGGAGGAGGCGAACCAGUACAAGGGGAGCUCGGAAAAACAAAGGGGGACGUUCCUAGACGUGCCCUAAAGGUGUUCACGGUGUGAGGAGGAGCAGAGGACGCACACAAGCUCGGACAAACUCAAGAACAAUAUCAUGAGGAUUACGCCUAGCGCAUCGGAUGACGACAACCUGAGGAAAACAACAUCAUGUACGGGAUUUUUAUUCUGGACUAUGGAACUUGUAUUCCCGCAUUUUGUACGGUUAUAUUAUGACU
Tarenaya hassleriana is the source of this 3203-nucleotide RNA transcript. RefSeq lists it as uncharacterized. The record is from RefSeq and is a predicted model, not a curated record. The transcript has 7 exons. Lineage: Eukaryota; Viridiplantae; Streptophyta; Magnoliopsida; Brassicales; Cleomaceae.